This 678-nucleotide ribosomal RNA is filed under the name Fuscoporia ferruginosa. RNAcentral describes it as "eukaryotic LSU rRNA". The stretch from base 260 to 413 matches the Rfam family "5.8S ribosomal RNA". Lineage: Eukaryota; Fungi; Basidiomycota; Agaricomycetes; Hymenochaetales; Hymenochaetaceae. The record is from RNAcentral.
AGAGGAAGUAAAAGUCGUAACAAGGUUUCCGUAGGUGAACCUGCGGAAGGAUCAUUAUCGAAUUUUGAAGUCCGUCUUGAGCUGGCAUUGCAGGUGCUCGGUCGGGUCUUUCAUCCAUUCUACCCCUGUGCACUUUGAAACGUCGGUCUGGGUUGGGGUGCUCGCUGUAUGCGUGUGCUUCGCUUAGCCUCGUUUUAUUACAAACACCCUUUAUUGUCUUGUAGAAUGUAUUGCUCAGUUAUGAGCUAAAAGUUAAUACAACUUUCAACAACGGAUCUCUUGGCUCUCGCAUCGAUGAAGAACGCAGCGAAAUGCGAUAAGUAAUGUGAAUUGCAGAAUUCAGUGAAUCAUCGAAUCUUUGAACGCACCUUGCGCUCCUUGGUAUUCCGAGGAGCAUGCCUGUUUGAGUGUCAUGUUAUUCUCAAUCCCUUCUGCUUUGCGGCAGUCGGGUUUGGAUGUGGAGGCUUGUGCUGGCCCCUCGCGGUCGGCUCCUCUUGAAUGCAUUAGCUGGGCUUAUGCUCGAUGCAACGGUGUAAUAAUGUCUUUUCACCGGGGUAACUUGCAAUGGAAAGUCCGCUUCUAAUCGUCUCGCAUGAGACAUUGUAAAGGGAUUGAUUUCUCUUUGACACCUUUGACCUCAAAUCAGGUAGGACUACCCGCUGAACUUAAGCAUAUCAA